This 1032-nucleotide ribosomal RNA is filed under the name Staphylococcus epidermidis. RNAcentral's name for it is "bacterial SSU rRNA". It matches the Rfam family "Bacterial small subunit ribosomal RNA", at positions 48 to 1060 of the family's 1533-position model. Lineage: Bacteria; Bacillati; Bacillota; Bacilli; Caryophanales; Staphylococcaceae. The record is from RNAcentral.
CCUAUACAUGCAGUCGAGCGAACAGACGAGGAGCUUGCUCCUCUGACGUUAGCGGCGGACGGGUGAGUAACACGUGGAUAACCUACCUAUAAGACUGGGAUAACUUCGGGAAACCGGAGCUAAUACCGGAUAAUAUAUUGAACCGCAUGGUUCAAUAGUGAAAGACGGUUUUGCUGUCACUUAUAGAUGGAUCCGCGCCGCAUUAGCUAGUUGGUAAGGUAACGGCUUACCAAGGCAACGAUGCGUAGCCGACCUGAGAGGGUGAUCGGCCACACUGGAACUGAGACACGGUCCAGACUCCUACGGGAGGCAGCAGUAGGGAAUCUUCCGCAAUGGGCGAAAGCCUGACGGAGCAACGCCGCGUGAGUGAUGAAGGUCUUCGGAUCGUAAAACUCUGUUAUUAGGGAAGAACAAAUGUGUAAGUAACUAUGCACGUCUUGACGGUACCUAAUCAGAAAGCCACGGCUAACUACGUGCCAGCAGCCGCGGUAAUACGUAGGUGGCAAGCGUUAUCCGGAAUUAUUGGGCGUAAAGCGCGCGUAGGCGGUUUUUUAAGUCUGAUGUGAAAGCCCACGGCUCAACCGUGGAGGGUCAUUGGAAACUGGAAAACUUGAGUGCAGAAGAGGAAAGUGGAAUUCCAUGUGUAGCGGUGAAAUGCGCAGAGAUAUGGAGGAACACCAGUGGCGAAGGCGACUUUCUGGUCUGUAACUGACGCUGAUGUGCGAAAGCGUGGGGAUCAAACAGGAUUAGAUACCCUGGUAGUCCACGCCGUAAACGAUGAGUGCUAAGUGUUAGGGGGUUUCCGCCCCUUAGUGCUGCAGCUAACGCAUUAAGCACUCCGCCUGGGGAGUACGACCGCAAGGUUGAAACUCAAAGGAAUUGACGGGGACCCGCACAAGCGGUGGAGCAUGUGGUUUAAUUCNAAGCAACGCGAAGAACCUUACCAUAUCUUGACAUCCUCUGACCCCUCUCGAGAUAGAGUUUUCCCCUUCCGGGGACAGAGUGACAGGUGUGGGAUGUUUGUCGGCAGCC